GAUGAAGAACGUAGCGAAAUGCGAUACUUGGUGUGAAUUGCAGAAUCCCGUGAACCAUCGAGUCUUUGAACGCAAGUUGCGCCCGAAGCCAUCAGGUUGAGGGCACGUCUGCCUGGGCGUCACAUAUCGUUGCCCAAUGCCUAUUGCAGUGCAAUAGGAAUUUCUAGGGCGAAUGAUGGCUUCCCGUGAGCGUUGUUGCCUCGCGGUUGGUUGAAAAUCGAGUCCUUGGUAGGGUGUGCCAUGGUAGAUGGUGGUCGAGUUAGAACGAUACCGAUCAUGUGCAUGCUCCCCAAAAUAUGGCCUCUAGGACCCACACGCGUCUUUUGACGCUCAUGACGAGACCUCAGGUCAGGCGGGGCUACCCGCUGAAUUUAAGCAUAUCAAUAAGCGGAGGA
RNAcentral lists this unclassified non-coding RNA (395 nucleotides) under soil metagenome. Its description in RNAcentral is "partial contains 5.8S ribosomal RNA, internal transcribed spacer 2, and large subunit ribosomal RNA". The stretch from base 1 to 122 matches the Rfam family "5.8S ribosomal RNA", at positions 35 to 154 of the family's 154-position model. The record is from RNAcentral.